RNAcentral lists this ribosomal RNA (253 nucleotides) under uncultured bacterium. RNAcentral describes it as "partial 16S ribosomal RNA". It matches the Rfam family "Bacterial small subunit ribosomal RNA", at positions 524 to 776 of the family's 1533-position model. The record is from RNAcentral.
UACGUAGGGUCCGAGCGUUGUCCGGAAUUAUUGGGCGUAAAGGGCUCGUAGGCGGUUUGUCGCGUCGGGAGUGAAAACACGGGGCUUAACCCCGUGCCUGCUUCCGAUACGGGCAGACUAGAGGUAUGCAGGGGAGAACGGAAUUCCUGGUGUAGCGGUGAAAUGCGCAGAUAUCAGGAGGAACACCGGUGGCGAAGGCGGUUCUCUGGGCAUUACCUGACGCUGAGGAGCGAAAGCGUGGGUAGCAAACAGG